Sorex araneus (European shrew) is the source of this 568-nucleotide non-coding RNA. Lineage: Eukaryota; Metazoa; Chordata; Mammalia; Eulipotyphla; Soricidae. The record is from the annotation of a RefSeq genome assembly.
AGGGUCUGUGUGCAGGAUGGCCUGGAUUCCUGCCCUCCUUAUGCUCCUCUGUCACUGUACAGGUUCCCUCUCCCAGCCUGUAUUGACUCAGCCACCAUCCGUCUCUGCAUCUCCUGGAACAACUGCCAGAGUCACCUGCACCCUGAGCAGUGGCCUCAAUGUUGGUGGUAACAGGAUCUUCUGGUACCAGCAAAAGGAAAGCAGCCGUCCCCGGUAUCUCCUGAACUACUACUCAGAAUCAGACAAGGGCCAGGGUUCCGGCGUUCCCAAUCGCUUUUCUGGUUCCAAAGAUACCUCAGCCAAUGCAGGGAUUCUGCUCAUCUCUGGGGUGCAAGCUGAGGAUGAGGCUGACUAUUACUGUGCUAUAUGGUACAGCAAUGCUUAUCCUCACAGUGAUUCAGAGUCAUGGGGAAGCUCCUGGGCACAGACUGGACUGACGCAGGAGAUAUCAGUGUCAGGGUCUGUGGAACAGACAGUCACACUCACCUGCACUGGAAACAGCAACAAUGUUGGUUACUAUGGUGUAGGCUGGUACCAGCAGAUUCUUGGUGCUGCCCCAAAGCUGUGA